CGGCGUUCCCGCAGCCUCUCAGUGCAGCUGGCGAGAAGGUGGGCUGGUGCUGGGGUGGAGCCAAUCCUCCGCCUGGGGGAGCCUCCCUGAGGCCGGGAAAGGGGUGGGUGCCCCCCCCACCGCAGCCCCCAUCUCAGACCAGGGGCGGUGGGGGCUCACUGCAGCGCUGUCACUCCUGCUCCCCAUGUAUCUGGCUGGGGCAUCCCCCAGGCAGGCUUGUUUAGUUGACGUGACCAAAAGAAAAUUAGUUGUCCCCAAAAGUUCCCAGGCACAGAACUCUGGUGAGCUGCCCCUGGCCUGUACCUGCCCCCAGCGUCUGCAAAACACCCCCACGCUGCGGCGGGAGCAGCCCUCUGCUCACUGCACCAAGGCACUGGCCUGCAAAACACCCCCACGCUGCAGCCGGAGCAGUCCCCUGCUCACUGCACCAAGGCACUGCCCUGCAAAACACCCCCACGCUGCAGCCGGAGCAGCGCCCUGCACUGCACCAAGGCACUGGCCUGCACAACACCCCCACGGUGCAGCCGGAGCAGCGCCCUGCACUGCACCAAGGAUUUAACAUCUGCUGGACUAUUCUUGCUGUUGGUCCCAGGAUUGAACCUUUCUGUGAUGAUCUUCAGAGCCCACAUUUGAUGAAUUUAAGACUGCCAGCAUUUCCAUGGAAACCCCCAAAAAUAAAGACUUUCCCAGCCUUGUGAGAACACACCUGCAAGAACCAGAAUCACAUUUCGCCUUUGGCCUCUCAAAAGUGACACUCCUCCAUUUUGGUGUCACCUAAGGACAUUUGUUUUUACACUAGGUAUGGAUAUGUGCUCUCAACAUUUGCAGAAAGUAUAUAUUAAUUUAAAAUUGCUAUCAUUUGAACUCUUGCCAUUGAGUAGUAACAAAUGUGUUUUGCUAUCCAACAACUCUCUCUUUAAAAUGUUACUUCAUUCUCUUUUUAAGGGAAAAUAAAUAAACAAAAGGAAUUGCUCUAAAGACCACAGAGCUGAGGUUUGCAGUCCUGAGAUAACAGAACUAAGGAUCGUUAGAAAUAAGAAUUGUGUUUAGAUCUUUUUAAAUUGCUAAUCUUGUACAUAUACGCUUUUAGAUACAAAGCCAAAUUUUCAGCAUCCCAGUUUCAAACUUUUCAUGCCCAACCACUUUUGCCAUGUGACUACCCCAUACGUAAAGAAAACUGAAUUGUCAUGUGCAACAUGACUGCACACCAUUUUUUCCUCCACGUGCCUACUUUUUUCCCCAAACACAGUCAGUUGCGGAUGCAAAGCUAGAUUCACAAAAUCAAAGGCUGGCUAAAAAUUUGUCCUGUAGGGGUUUUGUUUGCUAUAUAUCAAAGCAGUUGAUUUUUACAUAUUUCUAAAGGUACUUGUCAGUACUACAGCACUAAGGAGCAACCUUACAUCAACCAAACUUACAAAUCAGCACUAAAGGAAAGUGGGGAGAUUUUUUUGCUAAGGAAACCUUCUCCAAGGAUCCCUUACACAGUGAAUUAAAAAAGGAACGUUUUAGAUAAGACAAUCUCCAGGUGUAUUUCUUAAAUUAACUCAAUAGUGGCAAAGUAAAUACUUUCAGAAUUAUUUCCAUGAGUAUUUGGUCAAAUAAAACAAUUGAACUGAACUCAGCCUUAUCCACACCUCCAUUUGUUUGCUUUUCACAAAUAUUCUAACAAGUGAGUUCAGUGGCUAGAUUAUCUGAGGUUACCUUUACUCACAUUGAAUAGUGAAUCCAUGAAUAAUCCUACUGAAGGUAAUGGGCUGCUUUGUGAAGAAAGGCACUACUCCACAUAAGUAAGGAUAUCAACAGCUGCCUCUACAUUAAUAUUAAAGAAUAUUCACAGAAACCAAAUUUUGAUCUCAAACUCUUCCAAACUGUAUCGAUGCAACUACAUAGAACUAGUUUUGAACAUCAGAUGUAGUGAAUGGCUGACAAGCAAUCUGCGGACUCAGAAUGAUUUGCACAAAUUAUUUGGUGAAUAAUUUCAAAUAAUAAACUAGAGAAAAUCUUAUGGUGCUUGUGGGACAAUCCACAAGCAGAAAAAGAUGCUCAAUUCAAAUGUUAUUUAUUCACUCAGCUAUACUUUGAUAACUAAGAGUUACUCUCUGAUAAUGUUUGAUCUGGUUGAGUGCAUUUAGAACAUAAAUUUAGACAUACACUGAGGCCUAAUUGUGAUACAUCCAUAUACAGCUUACUGUUAUGUAUAAGAGAGACAAGGUGGGUGAGGUAGUAUCUUUUAGUGGACCAACUCCUGUUGGUGGAAGGGACAAGCUUUGGAGCAUGGAACGAGAAUGCCCAAGUUAAAUACAAGGUGGGACAGACUGUUUAAGAAUAGGGGGUUCGUACAUGUUGUAGGAAACCACUUAAAAUGAAGUGGGCAAUUAACAUCUCUGCAGUCAUAGGACACUGAAGGGUUUGUAAGUAGCAGGGUGUGUUGCAAAUUGUUGUAAUGGGCCAUAAAACCAUGGACUCUGUUAAGUCCAUUGUUUUUUAGUGUCCAGGAGAGUUAUGAAUUUAAAUUCCCAGGCUUGUCUCUUGAAGAUGUUGUGCAGGUUUCCUUUGAGGAUGAGGACUGAGAGGUUAGAUAUGAAGUUAUUGCUUUGUAAGAAGUGUUUGCCCAUGGGUGAUGUGGUGUUUUUGUCAUUUAUAAUUUUUUACAACAUGCCUUUCAAGAUCCAUAAGUCCUACACAUGCCUAUCACAGUAAGUGGUGUCUCUCAUCCAAUGCAUCAAAUGCCGCAACAACACCUCUAUGGGUGAAACCAAUCACUAUGCUCUCAAAUGAACUCUCACCAAAAAAUGAUAAACACAUGUUUUGUCUAUCACCCGUGCGAGAAUACUUUUCACAUAGCGAUCACUCCGUAUUUGACCUCUCAGUCUUCAUCCUCAUAGGAAACCUGCACAACACCUUCAAGAGAUGAGCAUGGGCGCACUUAGGCCUGAUCUACACUAAAAAAUUAAGUUAGCUUAACUAUAUCGCCCAGGGGUGUGAAAAAAAUCGACACCCCUGAACAGCGUGGUUAAACUGACCAAAUCCCCAGUGUAGACAGCAGAAUUCUCCUAGCUACUGCCUCUCUGGCAGGUGGAUUACCUAUACUGAUGGGAGAAUCCCUCCUGUCAGCAUUGGUAGUGUCUAUAUUGAAGUGCUAGAGCCAUGCAGCUAUGCCACUAAAGCAUUUCAAAUAUAGACAAGCCCUUAAAUUCAAAACUGCUGGACACUAAAAACCAUGGACUUGAGACACUGAUUUUAUGGCCCAUUUCAAGACUCUGUAACAUACCCUGCUACCUCCACUGUCCUACCCUCCCACUACUACCUCUCCAUUUUCCUAGGAGUGCAGGGGUGUUACUUGCCCACUUCAUUUUAAGUGGUCUCCUACAACCUGUGAACCCAUUAUGUUUAACAAUCUGUCUCCUCUUGUAUUUUGCUUGGACACCUCCGUUACCUUCUCCAGACAUGAGGAAGAGUUCUGUGAAGCUUUAAAUGUUGUCCCUUCUACCAACAAAAGUUGGUCCAAUAAAAGAUAUUACCUCACCUGCCUUGUCUCUCUUACAUCUCUCAACAUAGCUACAAUGCUACCACAAAAAACCAGUCACACUCAAGUGUGCUGUUGUACCAUCUCAGACUGAUUGCAUCAGGGCUGGACUUGUCUGAUACUCAUAUGAGAGAUCUUCAUGAAAAAUACAGGUUGAUGCACAAAAUGGUGUUGAUAAUUUUAGAUAAGAAAUCUCAAGGUCCUGAAUACUUGCAGUCCUUAAAGUUCCUAAGUCAUUUUCUACAAGAACAGGAAUGCAAUCCUGGCCAAACUCCAGAUCACACACUUAUACAUUCUAUUUGCUGAAAGUCCCCAUACAGUUUCAGUAUGCUUCACUUCCGGUCCUAAGUAGCUACUUAUUUAGUGUUGCUACAUGGUGUUUAAUUUCUGCUGUGGAGGUUGGUGGCAUGUCAGUGGAAGGUGAAGGGAUUCCUGUACAUGUAUUCAUACAUAAAAUGACAAUUUCAAAGUUGUUCUGAUGUAUGUUUAUUGAAGUACUCCUAAAGAUUGAUUAGUAAAUAUGGUAAAACUUGAACAUCAACAUAGAUGGCAGGUGGAGUUUUACGACAACAGCAAUUAGAGUAAAAGGAAAAACGAUACAGCAUUUGAGUAUGGUACUCAGUUGGAACAGAUGAAGUAAAAUCCACAUGCAGAAAAUAAAUUCACAUGGACUAAAUCUUUCGGGGGGGGCGGGGGGCGGGAGAAAUAAGUUUUAUAGGACGUUGUGAAGUUAGUGUAGAUUUAAACUCCAUUAUAGUAAAAUUGCAAUACUCUACAUUAGCGAUAUAGUCUUCCUUCGACUAUGAAAAUCAGUUAUUUCAUUGGUGCGUGCCUGCUGCAGCUGACAUUAAACAGCAGCACAAUACAGCUCCAGUUCAAUAAUGAGACUUCAACUGAAAAGCAUUUGUUUAUAUGUUGUGAUUCACUCUGGUUUCAGUGUCACGGCACUGGCAUUUUGAAUAGGAGGUUUGUGUUCCUUUUAACGGUUUACUCAAACAGGAGAAACAGCAAGACCUGUAUCUGGCCACCUUUAUGUUAAUAAUACAACUGGCCUAUGCUACGUUUUCGGUACUGACGUAUUGUACAAGGAUAUGUGGGAGGUUGGAUUGCCACAAUGGUUGCCAUUAAAAAGAAACCCUAGCUGACAAUAGCUCAUCUUUAAUUAAUUAGCCUCUUAGAGUUGGUAGGGGAACUCCCACCUUUUCAUGUUCUCUAUUUGUGUGUGUAUAUAUAUAUCUAUCUAUCUCCUCACUAUAUGUUCCAUUCUAUGCAUCCGAUGAAGUGGGCUGUAGCCCACGAAAGCUUAUGCUCAAAUAAAUUUGUUAGUCUCUGUACUCCUGUUCUUUUCGCUUUUGCCAUCAGUCACCACAACAGUGGUAUCCGAGAACAGGUAAUAAUAGAAUAGA
Malaclemys terrapin pileata is the source of this 4932-nucleotide long non-coding RNA. RefSeq lists it as uncharacterized. NCBI's taxonomy places the organism in Eukaryota, Metazoa, Chordata, Testudines, Emydidae. The record is from RefSeq and is a predicted model, not a curated record. The transcript is spliced from 3 exons.